RNAcentral lists this ribosomal RNA (253 nucleotides) under uncultured bacterium. Its description in RNAcentral is "partial 16S ribosomal RNA". It matches the Rfam family "Bacterial small subunit ribosomal RNA", at positions 524 to 776 of the family's 1533-position model. The record is from RNAcentral.
GACGAAGGUGGCGAGCGUUGUUCGGAAUCAUUGGGCAUAAAGCGCACGUAGGCGGUGUCGUAAGUCGGGUGUGAAAUCCCUCGGCCUAACCGAGGAACUGCGCCCGAUACUGCGAUGCUUGAGGACCAGAGGGGUGCAUGGAAUUUCCGGUGGAGCGGUGAAAUGCGUUGAUAUCGGAAGGAACUCCGGCGGCGAAAGCGAUGCACUGGCUGGUUUCUGACGCUGAGGUGCGAAAGCCAGGGGAGCAAACGGG